CGGACAGAGGCCCGCUGGCUUGGGUGUUUAGCUGUUAACUAAUUUUUUGCGGGAUCGAGGCCCGCCUGUCUAG
RNAcentral lists this transfer RNA (73 nucleotides) under Sceloporus mucronatus (cleft lizard). RNAcentral describes it as "tRNA-Asx". Lineage: Eukaryota; Metazoa; Chordata; Lepidosauria; Squamata; Phrynosomatidae. The record is from RNAcentral. RNAcentral also lists the same sequence under 1 other name.